CCUACGGGCGGCAGCAGUGGGGAAUAUUGCACAAUGGGGGAAACCCUGAUGCAGCGACGCCGCGUGAGUGAAGAAGUAAUUCGUUAUGUAAAGCUCUAUCAGCAGGGAAGAAAAUGACGGUACCUGAGUAAGAAGCCCCGGCUAACUACGUGCCAGCAGCCGCGGUAAUACGUAGGGGGCAAGCGUUAUCCGGAUUUACUGGGUGGAAAGGGAGCGGAGACGGCAGUGCAAGGCUGGAGUGAAAGGCGGGGGCUCAACCCCCGGACUGCUCUGGAAACUGUACGGCUGGAGUGCAGGAGAGGUAAGUGGAAUUCCUAGUGUAGCGGUGAAAUGCGUAGAUAUUAGGACGAACACCAGUGGCGAAGGAGGCUUACUGGACUGUAACUGACGUUGAGGCUCGAAAGCGUGGGGAGCAAACAGGAUUAGAUACCCCUGUAGUC
RNAcentral lists this ribosomal RNA (440 nucleotides) under uncultured bacterium. RNAcentral describes it as "partial 16S ribosomal RNA". It matches the Rfam family "Bacterial small subunit ribosomal RNA", at positions 338 to 795 of the family's 1533-position model. The record is from RNAcentral.